This 253-nucleotide ribosomal RNA is filed under the name uncultured bacterium. Its description in RNAcentral is "partial 16S ribosomal RNA". It matches the Rfam family "Bacterial small subunit ribosomal RNA", at positions 524 to 776 of the family's 1533-position model. The record is from RNAcentral.
UACGUAGGGACCGAGCGUUGUCCGGAAUCAUUGGGCGUAAAGAGCGUGUAGGCGGCCUUUUAAGUCCUGCGUGAAAUCCUGCGGCUCAACCGCAGACGGUCGUGGGAAACUGGAAGGCUAGAGUGCGGGAGAGGAGAGUGGAAUUCCCGGUGUAGCAGUGAAAUGCGUAGAUAUCGAGAGGAACACCAGUGGCGAAGGCGAGUCUCUGGACAUUUCCUGACGCUGAGGCACGAAAGCCAGGGGAGCAAACGGG